Non-coding RNA from Camellia sinensis, 277 nucleotides. The record is from RefSeq and is a predicted model, not a curated record. Lineage: Eukaryota; Viridiplantae; Streptophyta; Magnoliopsida; Ericales; Theaceae.
GUGCAAUUGACUAAUCGACAGAGGGAUUUACACAAUGACGGGAGGCACACUGAUUGGUUCUUUCCCGUAUAUCUGUCGACUUUGAUUCUAAAUAAAGAUAUGCAACCUCUGCACCAUGAACAUAUCGUCACAUCAUUUUUCGGACAUGACAGAUACACUGGUGCGAUUGAUGCAUGCCAGAGGAUUUACAUGCCUUUCAAUUACAGAGGAGUGCAUUGGUUGUGCGCUAAAAUUGAUAUGGUGGACCGUGUAGCCUACCUAUUUGACUCGUUCCCAU